Long non-coding RNA from Brachypodium distachyon (stiff brome), 218 nucleotides. RefSeq lists it as uncharacterized. The transcript has 3 exons. The record is from RefSeq and is a predicted model, not a curated record. Lineage: Eukaryota; Viridiplantae; Streptophyta; Magnoliopsida; Poales; Poaceae.
GAGGAUUACCUUCUCGGAUCCAAGGUUAUCCCACCUCCCUGCAAGGUGUUUGAUUAUUUGCCCAGGUUACCCCAUCUCCUGCACUGAAUGUGUUUGAGGAUUUGCCUCUUCUGAAGAUUUGUCGGCUCUGAAGAACAUAUAGUUGAACCUUAUUUCGUUGUGCAAGUAGAUAAUUGUGGCACAAUACAAAAAUCAGAUAUGAGAUUUUUCAGUUGCAU